UUGUCCUCAAGGUUCAAGAUA
Molecule: small nuclear RNA, 21 nt
Filed under: Arabidopsis thaliana (thale cress)
Lineage: Eukaryota; Viridiplantae; Streptophyta; Magnoliopsida; Brassicales; Brassicaceae
Description: snRNA_18286
Source: RNAcentral